RNAcentral lists this ribosomal RNA (460 nucleotides) under uncultured bacterium. Its description in RNAcentral is "partial 16S ribosomal RNA". It matches the Rfam family "Bacterial small subunit ribosomal RNA", at positions 338 to 795 of the family's 1533-position model. The record is from RNAcentral.
CCUACGGGAGGCAGCAGUGAGGAAUAUUGGUCAAUGGACGAGAGUCUGAACCAGCCAAGUCGCGUGAAGGAUGACUGCCCUAUGGGUUGUAAACUUCUUUUAUAUGGGAAUAGAAUGUUCCACGUGUAGGCUUUUGUAUGUACCUUAUGAAUAAGGAUCGGCUAACUCCGUGCCAGCAGCCGCGGUAAUACGGAGGAUCCGAGCGUUAUCCGGAUUUAUUGGGUUUAAAGGGAGCGUAGGUGGAUUGUUAAGUCAGUUGUGAAAGUUUGCGGCUCAACCGUAAAAUUGCAGUUGAAACUGGCAGUCUUGAGUACAGUAGAGGUGGGCGGAAUUCGUGGUGUAGCGGUGAAAUGCUUAGAGAUCACGAAGAACGCCGAUAGCGAAGGCAGCUCACUGGACUGCAACUGACACUGAGGCUCGAAAGUGUGGGUAUCAAACAGGAUUAGAUACCCUUGUAGUC